Molecule: long non-coding RNA, 345 nt
Organism: Saccostrea cuccullata (small rock oyster)
Lineage: Eukaryota; Metazoa; Mollusca; Bivalvia; Ostreida; Ostreidae
Exons: 3
Source: RefSeq, a predicted model, not a curated record
GUAUCAAUUUAAUUAAAAGAAGACGCCAGACGACUUCUUGCACUAUAAGUGACGACUGCACAUGCACAGGAGACCAUGAAGUGGCCACAUGUGACAACGGAAUGUGCCACUGCCACCAUGACGGUCAUCAUGACAACGGAAACCACAACCCACCACAUCAUCCUGGGAAAAGAGAAAAGGAAACAUGCACAGCUCCUACCGACUGCACAUGCGCAGAUAACCAGGUUGCUGAAUGUCAUAAUGGCCAUUGCUCCUGCCACCAUGACAGCGGCCAUCACCCUUAAAUGAGCAAAGACCGUUUUAAAAUUCAUUCCUUUGUUUCUGUGCUGUCUUUUUACUAGCGUG